UAACGGCGAGUGAAGCGGCAAAAGCUCAGAUUUGAAAUCUGGCGUCUUCGGCGUCCGAGUUGUAAUCUGUAGAGGAUGCCUUUGGGUGGCCACCGGUCUAAGUCCCCUGGAACGGGGUGUCACAGAGGGUGAGAAUCCCGUAUGUGACCGGGAAGGCGCCCUAUACAUGGCUCCUUCGACGAGUCGAGUUGUUUGGGAAUGCAGCUCUAAAUGGGAGGUAAAUUCCUUCUAAAGCUAAAUACCGGCCAGAGACCGAUAGCGCACAAGUAGAGUGAUCGAAAGAUGAAAAGCACUUUGGAAAGAGAGUUAAAAAGCACGUGAAAUUGUUGAAAGGGAAGCGCUUGCAACCAGACUUGUUGGCGGUGUUCCGCCGGUCUUCUGACCGGUCUACUCACCGUCUGCAGGCCAGCAUCAUCUGGGGCCGCUGGAUAAAAGCGGAGGGAAUGUGGCUCCUCCGGGAGUGUUAUAGCCCUCUGUGUAAUACAGCGAGUCCCGGGUGAGGUCCGCGCUUCGGCUAGGAUGCUGGCGUAAUGGUCGUAAGCGGCCCGUCUUGAAACACGGACCAAGGAGUCUAACAUCUAUGCGAGUGUUCGGGUGUCAAACCCCUACGCGUAAUGAAAGUGAACGGAGGUGGGAACCUUUUAGGUGCACCAUCGACCGAUCCUGAUGUCUUCGGAUGGAUUUGAGUAAGAGCAUAGCUGUUGGGACCCGAAAGAUGGUGAACUAUGCCUGGAUAGGGUGAAGCCAGAGGAAACUCUGGUGGAGGCUCGCAGCGGUUCUGACGUGCAAAUCGAUCGUCAAAUUUGGGUAUAGGGGCGAAAGACUAAUCGAACCAU
Molecule: ribosomal RNA, 836 nt
Filed under: Leptoxyphium glochidion
Lineage: Eukaryota; Fungi; Ascomycota; Dothideomycetes; Capnodiales; Capnodiaceae
Description: eukaryotic LSU rRNA
Rfam family: Eukaryotic large subunit ribosomal RNA
Source: RNAcentral